This 261-nucleotide ribosomal RNA is filed under the name uncultured prokaryote. Its description in RNAcentral is "partial 16S ribosomal RNA". It matches the Rfam family "Bacterial small subunit ribosomal RNA", at positions 524 to 784 of the family's 1533-position model. The record is from RNAcentral.
AACGUAGGUGGCAAGCGUUGUCCGGAAUUACUGGGUGUAAAGGGAGCGCAGGCGGGGUGCCAAGUUGGGCGUGAAAUCUAUGGGCUCAACCCAUAAAUUGCGCUCAAAACUGGCGCUCUUGAGUGAUGGAGAGGCAGGCGGAAUUCCCGGUGUAGCGGUGGAAUGCGUAGAUAUCGGGAGGAACACCAGUGGCGAAGGCGGCCUGCUGGACAUUAACUGACGCUGAGGCUCGAAAGCAUGGGGAGCAAACAGGAUUAGAUA